GCUGCUGAAUAGCUCAGUUGGUUAGAGCGUUGUGCUUAUAACAUCAAAGUCACAGGCUUGAUCCCCAUAUGGGACAGCUGCA
Molecule: non-coding RNA, 82 nt
Organism: Podarcis lilfordi (Lilford's wall lizard)
Lineage: Eukaryota; Metazoa; Chordata; Lepidosauria; Squamata; Lacertidae
Source: the annotation of a GenBank genome assembly